CGAGGGGAGUGAAAAAGAACCUGAAACCGUGUACGUACAAGCAGUGGGAGCACCCUUCGGGGUGUGACUGCGUACCUUUUGUAUAAUGGGUCAGCGACUUAUAUUCUGUAGCAAGGUUAACCGUAUAGGGGAGCCGGAGGGAAACCGAGUCUUAACCGGGCGUUAAGUUGCAGGGUAUAGACCCGAAACCCGGUGAUCUAGCCAUGGGCAGGUUGAAGGUUGGGUAACACUAACUGGAGGACCGAACCGACUAAUGUUGAAAAAUUAGCGGAUGACCUGUGGCUGGGGGUGAAAGGCCAAUCAAACCGGGAGAUAGCUGGUUCUCCCCGAAAGCUAUUUAGGUAGCGCCUCGUGAAUUCAUCUCCGGGGGUAGAGCACUGUUUCGGCUAGGGGGCCAUCCCGGCUUACCAACCCGAUGCAAACUGCGAAUACCGGAGAAUGUUAUCACGGGAGACACACGGCGGGUGCUAACGUCCGUCGUGAAGAGGGAAACAACCCAGACCGCCAGCUAAGGUCCCAAAGUCAUGGUUAAGUGGGAAACGAUGUGGGAAGGCCCAGACAGCCAGGAUGUUGGCUUAGAAGCAGCCAUCAUUUAAAGAAAGCGUAAUAGCUCACUGGUCGAGUCGGCCUGCGCGGAAGAUGUAACGGGGCUAAACCAUGCACCGAAGCUGCGGCAGCGAACGUAUCACCCAAGACAACUUUACGGAGUUGACGAUUGACGGAGCGAAGCGACGUCAAAGCGUUCAUUAAAGUCGAGUUGGCUUAGGGAUACGUUCGUUGGGUAGGGGAGCGUUCUGUAAGCCUGUGAAGGUGUGUCGUGAGGCAUGCUGGAGGUAUCAGAAGUGCGAAUGCUGACAUAAGUAACGAUAAAGCGGGUGAAAAGCCCGCUCGCCGGAAGACCAAGGGUUCCUGUCCAACGUUAAUCGGGGCAGGGUGAGUCGACCCCUAAGGCGAGGCCGAAAGGCGUAGUCGAUGGGAAACGGGUUAAUAUUCCCGUACUUGGUGUUACUGCGAAGGGGGGACGGAGAAGGCUAUGUUGGCCGGGCGACGGUUGUCCCGGUUUAAGCGUGUAGGUGUGUGUUCCAGGUAAAUCCGGUU
Molecule: ribosomal RNA, 1098 nt
Filed under: Salmonella enterica subsp. enterica serovar Typhimurium
Lineage: Bacteria; Pseudomonadati; Pseudomonadota; Gammaproteobacteria; Enterobacterales; Enterobacteriaceae
Description: partial 23S ribosomal RNA
Rfam family: Bacterial large subunit ribosomal RNA
Source: RNAcentral